GUCCCUGCUUAAGCUUGAAUAAACGACCCUUGUGUGCUUACAUCGAAAACGGCCUCCUGGUGGUCUCUGGGACUUCACAAUCUGGGCACAACAAUUAUUUCUUCUUACGUCCAAUAAAACUCUCCUAACUUCCUCCUCUGGUUGGCCACUUCACUUCUCAAUGUUGUGAGACCACAAACUCAACACAUUUGACACCUAACAGCAAUUUCUGCAGUUUUAUAAAACUCAUGCAAAAAGCAAUAGGCCAAUAUCUGGCUUUCCCAGCAAGUCACCAAGCAGUGCUACUGGAAGCUGCAACCUGGGUGUCUGAUGCUAUCCUGAAGCCACCAUGAUCCAUAAAGCCACCAAGCUGCACUCCAGAGAAAGGUAUAUAAAAAGGAAAGAUAAACAGAGAAGUUGAAAAACCUCAAGUAACAUAAAAGGAAGAGUGAAGUUGAAGUAAAGAAGACAAAUACACUUUUAACUCUGAAAUGUGCUCCUGUUCUUUAACAAUGAAAACUUUCCAUUGAACAGGUUAAUUGGAUAUCCUGCAGUGCUGCUAUGUUGCAGUUCACAAGAAUGACUUCACCUUGAAAAGGAUAUUUCCUAUCAAGGAUGUUUCCUUGAUAUUUUCUAUCUGCCUCCAUCAUGCUUUUCUGUGUAACAUUUCAACAAUAAAUGUUGUCUUUGUUAUAAAACAAAUAAUGAUCAUACAUGUAAGUCACUGGAGGAACCAAUAUAAUUAUAUUUUGUUCUUUCUUUG
Molecule: long non-coding RNA, 742 nt
Filed under: Heterocephalus glaber (naked mole-rat)
Lineage: Eukaryota; Metazoa; Chordata; Mammalia; Rodentia; Bathyergidae
Description: lncRNA (ENSHGLG00100044439.1)
Source: RNAcentral